Molecule: long non-coding RNA, 214 nt
Filed under: Nicotiana benthamiana
Lineage: Eukaryota; Viridiplantae; Streptophyta; Magnoliopsida; Solanales; Solanaceae
Description: long non-coding RNA (NBEN_LNC010010)
Source: RNAcentral
UUAGAAUCAUGAUAUAACACACGUAGGAUCCACAAAGAUAAACAUCUAACAAAGCCAUUUAGAACCUCAGAGGUGAAACAAAUGCAGAAUCAAGAAACAAGGAUCAGCAAACCAUGUAAAAUUUCAUAAGUGAAACUACUGAAUAGUCAAAAGGCAAAGAUCAACAAGCCAUGUAAAAUUUUAGAGGUGAGACAACUCAGAAGAUGAAUGAAUU